CCUACGGGUGGCAGCAGUGGGGAAUAUUGCACAAUGGGGGAAACCCUGAUGCAGCGACGCCGCGUGAGUGAAGAAGUAUUUCGGUUUGUAAAGCUCUAUCAUCAGGGAAGAAAAUGACGGUAUCUGAUUAAUAAGCCCCGGCUAACUACGUGCCAGCAGCCGCGGUAAUACGUAGGGGGCAAGCGUUAUCCGGAAUUACUGGGUGUAAAGGGAGCGUAGACGGCAUAACAAGUCAGGAGUGAAAUGCCGGGGCUUAACCCCAGAACUGCUUUGGAAACUGUGCAGCUAGAGUGCAGGAGAGGUAAGUGGAAUUCCUAGUGUAGGGGUGAAAUGCGUAGAUAUUAGGAGGAACACCAGUGGCGAAGGCGACUUACUAGAAUGUAACUGACGUUGAGGCUCGAAAGCGUGGGGAGCAAACAGGAUUAGAUACCCCGGUAGUC
RNAcentral lists this ribosomal RNA (440 nucleotides) under uncultured bacterium. Its description in RNAcentral is "partial 16S ribosomal RNA". It matches the Rfam family "Bacterial small subunit ribosomal RNA", at positions 338 to 795 of the family's 1533-position model. The record is from RNAcentral.